This 253-nucleotide ribosomal RNA is filed under the name uncultured bacterium. RNAcentral's name for it is "partial 16S ribosomal RNA". It matches the Rfam family "Bacterial small subunit ribosomal RNA", at positions 524 to 776 of the family's 1533-position model. The record is from RNAcentral.
UACAGAGGUCUCAAGCGUUGUUCGGAUUCAUUGGGCGUAAAGGGUGCGUAGGCGGGGAGGUAAGUCGGGUGUGAAAUCCCUCGGCCCAACCGAGGAACUGCGCCCGAGACUGCUUCUCUUGAGUCCCGGAGAGGAAGAUGGAAUUCCCGGUGUAGCGGUGAAAUGUGUAGAGAUCGGGAGGAACACCGGUGGCGAAGGCAGUGUCCUGGGGAGCAUCUGACGCUCAGGUGCGAAAGCUAGGGGAGCGAACGGG